UACGGGGGGGGCAAGCGUUGUUCGGAAUUACUGGGCGUAAAGGGCGCGUAGGCGGCCUGCUAAGUCGGACGUGAAAUCCCUCGGCUCAACCGAGGAACUGCGUCCGAUACUGGUGGGCUUGAAUCCGGGAGAGGGAUGUGGAAUUCCAGGUGUAGCGGUGAAAUGCGUAGAUAUGCGGAGGAACACCGAUGGCGAAGGCAGUCCCCUGGGCCUGCACUGACGCUCAUGCACGAAAGCGUGGGGAGCAAACAGG
Molecule: ribosomal RNA, 253 nt
Filed under: uncultured bacterium
Lineage: Bacteria
Description: partial 16S ribosomal RNA
Rfam family: Bacterial small subunit ribosomal RNA
Source: RNAcentral